GAUGAACGCUAGCGGCAGGCUUAACACAUGCAAGUCGAGGGGUAUAGUUCUUCGGAACUAGAGACCGGCGCACGGGUGCGUAACGCGUAUGCAAUCUACCUUUUGCAGAGGGAUAGCCCAGAGAAAUUUGGAUUAAUACCUCAUAGUAUGUGAGAAUGGCAUCAUUUUCACAUUAAAGUCACAACGGCAAAAGAUGAGCAUGCGUCCCAUUAGCUUGUUGGUAAGGUAACGGCUUACCAAGGCAACGAUGGGUAGGGGUCCUGAGAGGGAGAUCCCCCACACUGGUACUGAGACACGGACCAGACUCCUACGGGAGGCAGCAGUGAGGAAUAUUGGACAAUGGGCGCAAGCCUGAUCCAGCCAUGCCGCGUGCAGGAUGACGGUCCUAUGGGUUGUAAACUGCUUUUAUACAAGAGAAAACCCUGGUACGUGUACCAGGUUGAUAGUAUUGUAAGAAUAAGCAUCGGCUAACUUCGUGCCAGCAGCCGCGGUAAUC
Molecule: ribosomal RNA, 496 nt
Filed under: uncultured bacterium
Lineage: Bacteria
Description: bacterial SSU rRNA
Rfam family: Bacterial small subunit ribosomal RNA
Source: RNAcentral